GAUGAACGCUGGCGGCGUGCCUAAUACAUGCAAGUAGAACGCUGAAGGAAGGAGCUUGCUCUUUCCGGAUGAGUUGCGAACGGGUGAGUAACGCGUAGGUAACCUGCCUGGUAGCGGGGGAUAACUAUUGGAAACGAUAGCUAAUACCGCAUAACAGUAGAUGUUGCAUGAUAUCUACUUAAAAGGUGCAAUUGCACCACUACCAGAUGGACCUGCGUUGUAUUAGCUAGUUGGUGAGGUAACGGCUCACCAAGGCGACGAUACAUAGCCGACCUGAGAGGGUGAUCGGCCACACUGGGACGGAGACACGGCCCAGACGCCUACGGGAGGCAGCAGUAGGGAAUCUUCGGCAAUGGACGGAAGUCUGACCGAGCAACGCCGAGGGAGUGAAGAAGGUUUUCGGAUCGUAAAGCUCUGUUGUAAGAGAAGAACGAGUGUGAGAGUGGAAAGUUCACACUGUGACGGUAUCUUAACAGAAAGGGACGGCUAACUACGUG
This 497-nucleotide ribosomal RNA is filed under the name uncultured bacterium. Its description in RNAcentral is "partial 16S ribosomal RNA". It matches the Rfam family "Bacterial small subunit ribosomal RNA", at positions 28 to 507 of the family's 1533-position model. The record is from RNAcentral.